GAUGAACGCUGGCGGCGUGCCUAAUACAUGCAAGUCGAGCGAACGGACGAGAAGCUUGCUUCUCUGAUGUUAGCGGCGGACGGGUGAGUAACACGUGGAUAACCUACCUAUAAGACUGGGAUAACUUCGGGAAACCGGAGCUAAUACCGGAUGAUAUUUUGAACCGCAUGGUUCAAAAGUGAAAGACGGUCUUGCUGUCACUUAUAGAUGGAUCCGCGCUGCAUUAGCUAGUUGGUGAGGUAACGGCUUACCAAGGAAACGAUGCAUAGCCGACCUGAGAGGGUGAUCGGCCACACUGGAACUGAGACACGGUCCAGACUCCUACGGGAGGCAGCAGUAGGGAAUCUUCCGCAAUGGGCGAAAGCCUGACGGAGCAACGCCGCGUGAGUGAUGAAGGUCUUCGGAUCGUAAAACUCUGUUAUUAGGGAAGAACAUAUGUGUAAGUAACUGUGCACAUCUUGACGGUACCUAAUCAGAAAGCCACGGCUAACUACGUG
Molecule: ribosomal RNA, 497 nt
Filed under: uncultured bacterium
Lineage: Bacteria
Description: partial 16S ribosomal RNA
Rfam family: Bacterial small subunit ribosomal RNA
Source: RNAcentral